This 263-nucleotide ribosomal RNA is filed under the name uncultured Staphylococcus sp. RNAcentral describes it as "partial 16S ribosomal RNA". It matches the Rfam family "Bacterial small subunit ribosomal RNA", at positions 99 to 356 of the family's 1533-position model. Lineage: Bacteria; Bacillati; Bacillota; Bacilli; Caryophanales; Staphylococcaceae. The record is from RNAcentral.
CGGACGGGUGAGUAACACGUGGAUAACCUACCUAUAAGACUGGGAUAACUUCGGGAAACCGGAGCUAAUACCGGAUAAUAUAUUGAACCGCAUGGUUCAAUAGUGAAAGACGGUUUUGCUGUCACUUAUAGAUGGAUCCGCGCCGCAUUAGCUAGUUGGUAAGGUAACGGCUUACCGAGGCAACGAUGCGUAGCCGACCUGAGAGGGUGAUCGGCCACACUGGAACUGAGACACGGUCCAGACUCCUACGGGAGGCAGCAGCG